This 201-nucleotide ribosomal RNA is filed under the name uncultured bacterium. RNAcentral's name for it is "partial 16S ribosomal RNA". The record is from RNAcentral.
AAAACGAUGACGCGUCGAAGCAGCUGUCCGACUUGGGUUGGCCCAAAAUUGAAGUCUGGCGUGCUGGAUCACUCCUUAAGCGAAUUCUGCGAUAUCCAUACACUGGCGCCGCUCGAGAUGCAUCUAAGGGCCCAAUCGCCCUAUGUGAGUCGUUUACAAUUCCUGGCCGUCUUUUACAACUCGUGACUGGAAAACCCUGCG